GACGAACGCUGGCGGCGUGCUUAACACAUGCAAGUCGAACGGAAAGGCCAGUGCUUGCACUGGUACUCGAGUGGCGAACGGGUGAGUAACACGUGGGUGAUCUGCCUUGCACUCUGGGAUAAGCUUGGGAAACUGGGUCUAAUACCGGAUAUGAACUGCCUUUAGUGUGGUGGUUGGAAAGUUUUUUCGGUGCAAGAUGAGCUCGCGGCCUAUCAGCUUGUUGGUGGGGUAAUGGCCUACCAAGGCGUCGACGGGUAGCCGGCCUGAGGGGGUGUACGGCCACUGUGGGACUGAGAGAGGGCCCAGCCUCCUCGGGGAGGCGGGGGGGGGGAAUUUUGCACAAGGGGGGGACGCUUGAUGCAGCGACGCGGGGGGGGGGAUGGCGGCUUUCGGGUUUUAACCCCCUUUCGACGGGGACGAGGGGAAAGGGCGGGUCCUUGAAAAAGAAGCCCGGCCUAACUACGUG
RNAcentral lists this ribosomal RNA (466 nucleotides) under uncultured bacterium. RNAcentral describes it as "partial 16S ribosomal RNA". It matches the Rfam family "Bacterial small subunit ribosomal RNA", at positions 28 to 507 of the family's 1533-position model. The record is from RNAcentral.